GGGGUUGUAGCUCAGUGGUAGAGCACUUGCCUCGCAUGCACGAGGCCCUGGGUUCGAUCCUCAGCACCACA
This 71-nucleotide transfer RNA is filed under the name Marmota monax (woodchuck). Its description in RNAcentral is "tRNA.Ala". It matches the Rfam family "tRNA". Rfam says of the family: Transfer RNA (tRNA) molecules are approximately 80 nucleotides in length. The record is from RNAcentral. Lineage: Eukaryota; Metazoa; Chordata; Mammalia; Rodentia; Sciuridae.